UGAGGAAUAUUGCGCAAUGGACGAAAGUCUGACGCAGCCAUGCCGCGUGCAGGAUGACGGCCCUAUGGGUUGUAAACUGCUUUUGUAUAGGAAGAAACUCGAAUACGUGUAUUUGAUUGACGGUACUAUAUAAAUAAGCAUCGGCUAACUCCGUGCCAGCAGCCGCGGUAAUACGGAGGAUGCAAGCGUUAUCCGGAUUUAUUGGGUUUAAAGGGUGCGUAGGCGGAAUAUUAAGUCAGUGGUGAAAUCCUGCAGCUUAACUGUAGCACUGCCAUUGAUACUGAGAUUCUUGAGUACGGUUGAGGUAGGCGGAAUGUGUAAUGUAGCGGUGAAAUGCUUAGAUAUUACACAGAACACCGAUUGCGUAGGCAGCUUACUAAGCCGCAACUGACGCUGAGGCACGAAAGCGUGGGGAUCGAACAG
RNAcentral lists this ribosomal RNA (423 nucleotides) under uncultured bacterium. RNAcentral describes it as "bacterial SSU rRNA". It matches the Rfam family "Bacterial small subunit ribosomal RNA", at positions 355 to 775 of the family's 1533-position model. The record is from RNAcentral.